UACGGAGGGUGCAAGCGUUAUCCGGAUUUACUGGGUUUAAAGGGUGCGUAGGCGGGCUUUUAAGUCAGCGGUGAAAUCUCCGGGCUCAACCCGGAAAUUGCCGUUGAUACUAUUAGUCUUGAAUUAAGUUGAGGUGGGCGGAAUAAGUCAUGUAGCGGUGAAAUGCUUAGAUAUGACUUAGAACACCGAUUGCGAAGGCAGCUCGCUAAACUUAUAUUGACGCUGAGGCACGAAAGCGUGGGGAUCAAACAGG
This 253-nucleotide ribosomal RNA is filed under the name uncultured bacterium. RNAcentral describes it as "partial 16S ribosomal RNA". It matches the Rfam family "Bacterial small subunit ribosomal RNA", at positions 524 to 776 of the family's 1533-position model. The record is from RNAcentral.